Molecule: non-coding RNA, 30 nt
Filed under: Rattus norvegicus (Norway rat)
Lineage: Eukaryota; Metazoa; Chordata; Mammalia; Rodentia; Muridae
Source: RNAcentral
UUCUGUAUAAAUCAGUCAUCUUAGUUCCUU